This 375-nucleotide ribosomal RNA is filed under the name uncultured soil bacterium. RNAcentral describes it as "bacterial SSU rRNA". It matches the Rfam family "Bacterial small subunit ribosomal RNA", at positions 26 to 401 of the family's 1533-position model. The record is from RNAcentral.
AGAUUGAACGCUGGCGGCAGGCCUAACACAUGCAAGUCGAGCGGCAGCACGGGUACUUGUACCUGGUGGCGAGCGGCGGACGGGUGAGUAAUGCCUAGGAAUCUGCCUGGUAGUGGGGGAUAACGCUCGGAAACGGACGCUAAUACCGCAUACGUCCUACGGGAGAAAGCAGGGGACCUUCGGGCCUUGCGCUAUCAGAUGAGCCUAGGUCGAUUAGCUAGUUGGUGAGGUAAUGGCUCACCAAGGCGACGAUCCGUAACUGGUCUGGAGAGGAUGAUCAGUCACGACUGGAACUGAGACACGGUCCAGACUCCGUACGGGAGCAGCAGGUGGGAAUAGUGGACAAGUGGGACAAAGCCUGAUCAGCCAGUCGCG